Anguilla anguilla (European eel) is the source of this 378-nucleotide long non-coding RNA. RefSeq lists it as uncharacterized. The transcript is spliced from 3 exons. NCBI's taxonomy places the organism in Eukaryota, Metazoa, Chordata, Actinopteri, Anguilliformes, Anguillidae. The record is from RefSeq and is a predicted model, not a curated record.
UUCAUGGUCAUCACAGGAGUUAAACGCUAAAAUCGACACCACAACAUUUAUUACUGUCAUCAUGUAAGUGACUCUUGGCUAUCAUGCGUUCUCAGAAAAGGAGUGUGCCGAAAUGUAAUCAUGAUAAAACACCAGUGCUGCAGCUAUCCAUUAGGCAAUCUGGAGGCAGAGGUCGGGUGGAGGCCGUACAGCACAGUAAUCAUGCUCUGCAGUGCGGCCCUGCCCUCCCCUCGUACGUCAGCAUUUAGACUGCUGUGGCAAGGUCCCAGACGUAACUGAACACAAGAGGGCUCCUCUUCUUGAAGUCCUGGAGCAAAGCCUUAAUUUUUGGAGAAACAGAAACCAUUAGAGACAAUAGUGAAUACCCCCCUCCCUCUC